Molecule: ribosomal RNA, 478 nt
Filed under: uncultured bacterium
Lineage: Bacteria
Description: partial 16S ribosomal RNA
Rfam family: Bacterial small subunit ribosomal RNA
Source: RNAcentral
GACGAACGCUAGCGGCGUGCUUAACACAUGCAAGUCGAACGGUAAGGCCCUUCGGGGUACACGAGUGGCGAACGGGUGAGUAACACGUGGGUGAUCUGCCCUGCACUUCGGAAUAAGCCUGGGAAACUGGGUCUAAUACCGGAUAGGACCCUGGGAUGCAUGUCCUGGGGUGGAAAGCUUUUGCGGUGUGGGAUGGGCCCGCGGCCUAUCAGCUUGUUGGUGGGGUGAUGGCCUACCAAGGCGACGAGGGGUAGCCGGCCUGGGAGGGUGACCGGCCACACUGGGACUGGGAUACGGACCAGACUCCUACGGGAGGCAGCAGUGGGGAAUAUUGCAGAAUGGGCGCAAGCCUGAUGCAGCGACGCCGCGUGAGGGAUGACGGCCUUCGGGUUGUAAACCUCUUUCAGCACCGACGAAGCGCAAGUGACGGUAGGUGCAGAAGAAGGACCGGCCAACUACGUGCCAGCCGCCGCCGUAA